GGCCACGCCCCCAUUUGAAGCCACGCCCAUAUAUUUUGCCGGGGGCGCCACUAAGCUAAGAACCGGCCCUGUUUUAGUUGCCCACAGACACCGUGACCUUCGCCGUUACUCCGAAACACGCCCAAAUGCUUCAAGUGCACACAUCUGAUCACAUGACUGUUACGUCAUCCCUUGGAUCUGAUAUUUGUAGUCCCUCCCCUGCACGUUCUCAGCGUCCUCCAGGAGUGCGGGCGGACUACAUCUCCCGGCAUGCCUUUGGCUGAGCCCUCUCCCGGGAAGUGCUGCUGCGGCUGCAGGCAAUGUAUACCUAAUAGUAAUGGCACACGUUGACUGUGUGGGGCAAAGACUUUACAAUGGAUCACCUGAGACAAUCCGAUUCUUCUAAGAAGAAAGAAUCAAUAAAAAAGGCCAGUGGCACUUCUGCCGAUAUAACCAAAGGGAAAUUAAAUGAUAAAAAGCAGCAGAAAUUGGGCGUCAAACGUGGAACCUGCGUACUUAAGGAUGCUGGAGACUACUUGCUUCAAGCAGAAAAAUACAUCCGGGAAAAGAAGAAGUAUAAAUGUAAGGAAUGUGGGCAACUGCUUUCUCAUGGCUCUCAUGUAGAGGAACAUCGGAGAACCCACUCACGAGAGACUCUCUUUACCUGCUAUGAGUGUGGGAAAAAGUUCUCCAAAAGGUUCAACCUGGAGAAACACCAAGAGACCCAUUCAGAUCGUUGCCACCACACUGUGACAUCGAAGAGGUUGGCUUAGAAAUAUCACCAGUAAGGGCAUAAUCCUCGCCAGGAGAUGCAGGCUGCCUGACAUUACGUGGUGGUGGUUUUAAAAUGCCUGUCACUAAAGGUCCAUACACACUUAACGAUAAAAUGAGUGACGUCGCUCAUUUUCCCCCUCCUUGAGCGACGUCGCUCAUUUUAUCGUUGCGUGUGUAUGCCGCCAGCGACGACCGAUGCGCGGCCCCGCGGGUCGGCAACGAUUGUCGCUGUCGGUAGGGCAUGCAUGAAGGAUGUGGACUGUCGUCCACGACCUUCAUGCAGGGCUGGCGGGGGCGUGACGUCACUGAGCGAUAUGAGCGGUCAUAUCGCUCAGUGCGUACAGGCGGCCGCCGUCCGGCCGGCGCGGGAGGGGGAAACGUUAGACGAUGUCGCUCACAGAGCGACAUCGUCUAAUGUGUAUGGGCCUUUAGAGUAACAUUUUGUUGGGAGUUCAUCUUAAAAUGUUUUGUUUAAAAGUCCUUUUAGAAAAAUGUACUAGACUCUAUUUAAAACAAACAAAUCUUGAACCUAUACUGCUGAUGACAUAGGAUGGUGCUGUUUCAUUGUAUUGGUACAUUGUUUAAGGAAGAAAAAAAGUGGAAUUUAGAUGUCAGCGUUACUUUUGAUUAUUUUUUGUAGUUGAAAAGAUUGAAAAAUAAAAUGCAAAACAAACAAAA
Long non-coding RNA from Pseudophryne corroboree (corroboree frog), 1431 nucleotides. RefSeq lists it as uncharacterized. NCBI's taxonomy places the organism in Eukaryota, Metazoa, Chordata, Amphibia, Anura, Myobatrachidae. The record is from RefSeq and is a predicted model, not a curated record. The transcript has 2 exons.